CCCUGUAUCAAAAGUGGCCAGGUCAUUGAUAGUACAGGAAACGUGAAUUGAGGGUCUUCCCCGUGUUCGAUGGGUCCUAAGUCCCUACCGAACCCUGGUUCUCUCAGAUA
Oncorhynchus gorbuscha (pink salmon) is the source of this 110-nucleotide small nucleolar RNA. RefSeq annotates it as small nucleolar RNA SNORA71. NCBI's taxonomy places the organism in Eukaryota, Metazoa, Chordata, Actinopteri, Salmoniformes, Salmonidae. The record is from RefSeq and is a predicted model, not a curated record. The transcript has a single exon.